RNAcentral lists this long non-coding RNA (412 nucleotides) under Ananas comosus (pineapple). RNAcentral's name for it is "long non-coding RNA (ACOM_LNC029117)". The record is from RNAcentral. Lineage: Eukaryota; Viridiplantae; Streptophyta; Magnoliopsida; Poales; Bromeliaceae.
UCGACCGGUUCAGCUAUUCUGGAACUACUCGCGCUGACGGAUUUUGAGUUUGAUGCACGAAUUUCGAGAAAAUCCGAAAAUACGUGUUUUAUAUGUAUUUAUGUGUUAUUCCUUCUAUUGGAAAGAAGUUUGGAUUUUGUCGUGAAUCCGUGGUCGAUCGUGGUGAAACAAAAUCGUAGCUUUGUUGUCUCCGAGGUGCUGAUCGCACUGGUGCAAUCCGUUCGCAAAUCUGACAGACGGAUCUGCGGAGAUCGCACGUUGAUCGAGGUGAGGUCGGUGUUGGAAAAUGGGUAAUUUCGCAAAAAGUGCGAUAUUUUAUGUGCCGUUUCGCGUGAAUUUGUUUGUGAAGGUGUAUUCGCGCAUAUUUCACGCGUUGUGAAGGGCUGGGAUAGAAAUAUUCUUAUUAGAGGGG